This 842-nucleotide long non-coding RNA is filed under the name Phoenix dactylifera (date palm). RNAcentral's name for it is "long non-coding RNA (PDAC_LNC005368)". Lineage: Eukaryota; Viridiplantae; Streptophyta; Magnoliopsida; Arecales; Arecaceae. The record is from RNAcentral.
UUGAACGUCUUUUGUUUUUUUAUGGUAAAGUAAAUAGAAUUUGAAAAUCAAUAGGGGAAAUUUGCCCCUUUGCUCUAAUCCUGUUAUUCUAUGUUGAAUUUUCUCUUGAGAAUGUUGAAAGCUAAUUUAUUGAAUUGACUCGACCCUAGUUUUCCAAGUCAGUACAUGCUAUUUCCUUUUCUCGCUUUUGUGGUUAAACAUCAUAUGCUUCAUACUUCAUGUAACUUUUAAUCUUCUUAUCUUCUAGGUUUUGUCAUGCACACUUUUCUAUAGUAUAUCUUCUUUGUUGCUAUGCUUUCCUUUUACUAAUUCUCUUAUGAUAUUAUUAUUGUAUUGAUCACUUGUGAUCAAUUUUUACAUAGUUGAAAUGGUUUGUCGAACCGAUAUUAGAGGGUGUACCGGCAAGCAAUCAAUUUGGCAUGGUAUGGGUUCGUAAUGUGCCGUUCCCGGGCAUACCGAAAUAGGGAGAGCCGAAGAGGGAGGGGGAGAGGGAGAAAAGAGAGAGAGAGAGAGAGAGAGAGAGAGAGAGAGAGAGAGAGGAGAGAGAGAGAGAGGGUCGAGGGAAACCCCAAGCCUAACUCUUGGAGCAAGAGAGAUAGUGCGAGGAAGGGGGUGUUCACAAGAGAGCCAAUGGAAACCCUAACGCUAACCUUGGAUAGGGAGGGAUAGGGAGGAGGAAGUGAGAUAGAGAUAGAUAGAUAGAUAGAUAGAUAGAGAGAGGAGGUCACCAGUGGCAUGAAAACCCUCAGGGGUAGGGGAUGUUUGCAAGUGGGGGGAGGGGGUGCUCUCUGGAAACAUCACGAUGAGGGGUGGAGUGGGGACUUAAACCACUGCCAGGUUUA